UCUUAGGACCCAAUGUUUUGGGCUUUUGGUUCAUUGGAUAAAUACGUUUCCCUGGGGAUGAUGAGAUAAAGAGGUUUAGCGGCGCUUGUGAAAAGAAAGGUUAAGGGAAGAUCGUUCAGAUCAAAGUGAGUGAAUCGGAGAGGGAGAAUGUGAAUCGGAAUCGGAAUCGCAAACGGAAUCGCAGUUGGAGUUCGAAUCCGAAUCCGAGUCAGAAUCGCAAUGGCAAAUUGUAUGUAUGUUGCCAGGAAGAAAACGGCUCCAGGGGCUGCUACCUAAUCCGCGCCAUCGAUUUGGAGCGUUUGAUGGCUUGCUCCUGUGACUUUGAUGAAGUCGAAUGUGUGGAAAUCGAGUGCGCUAGCUGCGAAUCCUGCCCCGAUCAAGAUUUGCGGCCAGUCGGUUUACUCUACGGCGACCAGUACGAUGUCCCCAGCUGCAUGGGCUGCUGUCCCUUUGGCUCCCAAGUUGUCUUCGUAGGCGGCGAGUUAGCACCGUGGUCUCAUGAUUUCAAACCCAGCCGAAAGGUUUUCGUCUAUGACAUUGAGGAUGGGCUCCGGCUUCAGGGCUUGGAAAACGGCAACAACAUCAAGGAGUUGGACAAAAGCUGCAACGGUCUUGCAAAUAUCCAUCAUGACAUAUAUUAUCCGCGGAUGAUGGAGAUAGGAGGAGAUCUCUAUGCUCUCGGAGUUGUCAAAUGUGACGUCAGUGUCUCUCAGGUAUACAGGCGCCAAUCGCAGCGGUGGGAAGCUCUGCCUCCUCCCAUACCGAGUUUCAGUCAUGAUUUCACUCGUCGUACUCUAUUUUCUCUACUUUCCACGGACAACAAGAUCUUUCUAUCCACCUAUUUCCCACAUAUGCCGGUCAAAUGUUUCGACACCGACUGUAAAUACUAGAUAGCUGAUUCCGGCUUCGACAGUGAGGUUUUCCCCUUUGUGGGUGAGGCUUUAGUCGUGGACUUGGAUAAACCUAGCAAGGAGAAGUUGGUGUUUGCCUAUGGUCGUGAUACUAUAUACGUGUGGCGAUUGGGAUUGACUGAUGAUCUGAAAGGUUCUUGUCUUACCAGAUACGGGUCUGUGAAUGUGAAACCCAGGUUGCUUGGCUUAUUGGGACUUCAAACAAAUGUAUCUAAGCAGCAUCGUCUCAUCGAUCUAGGAGAUGGAAAAAUCUGCUUGGUUAGAGCCAGGAGCUACCCAGUUGUUGAAGGUUUUAUAAAUUCAGAAGGGCUUGAGAAGGUGUGUGUUGUUAUCAUAGUAUUCAAAUAUGAGUUUGAUCCGAGAGCACAAGCCUUGGCCUACAAGUUCCUGUCUACCCGCAACUUUACCUUCAUGCCCCAUUGCAAGGAAUGCUGCUUUGUCCGCCUGCUUAAAUGCUUUGUGCGCUAGCUAGAUAGCUUCCUUAGUACUCAACAUGUUGCAGUUGUUGCCCGGUUGGUUGCCGCUUGCUUAUAUGAUGAUUAGGUUCCAAUAAUACUCUUUUGAUUUACUUUAUUACUGCGCGGCCCUGCGGUAAUUGUCGGGGGUUUAGGGUUUAGGGGUUGUUCCUACCAUCGACCAAGGAUAAUUGUUACUGUUAUGUAAUCAUGGCAUGGUAUCUAUAGUUUGGAAACUGCUUGAUAAAAUGGCUAAAGUGUGGCCUUCUCUUUCUAUGGUGAUAAACAUUGAAGGGGUAGAUAUGAUGGUUGGAGUUCCUCUGAGGAGUGGCAGUCCUGCUCUUGAUGAUCUUUCAGUGGAUUCCCAUCCAUUCAGUUCUUCUGGAUGGUUGUGAACAUGUAGCUAGAAUCCCAUGGGGUUGCUUAUGAUACUCUUCCAUUUUUGGAACUAUAAAAGCCGGUGUGCAUUACGUUCUUUCAGAUGCCAGUCUGCUGAGAUUUUGAAUUUUAUGGCUUGGCUUCAAAAGACAUACACUCUUAUGGCAUUUCACUAAGACAUCGUGAUGACAUUCUCCUUUGCUAUGUGCAAGUACUCCUCGGGAUGGAGUAGCUUCAUGGAUGCAUUGCAGGAAGCCGGGGCAUGUUUUAUAUUGGUCAUUCAAUGAGAAAUAUGCAAAGGAACAGUCCCUCAAGAUUACCAGACGCCGUUGUUGUUUCUAGUGCUUUUCCUCAAAACUGUGUGGAGAAUUUGUAUGCAAAGUCGGUUGGAGUUCCGGUGUACAAGCGAGACGAUUGGUCAAGACUCAAGACAACUGACAUUGGGCUACAUUAAUCUUAUUGCUGUAAGCGGUAGCCAUCGUGAGAAUGGUUAUAAUCUAUUAUCCUCGUCGAUCAUAGUUAUGCUGGCUUAACAUUGUCAACAUGGGUUAUAUAUAAAUGUUCACUGUGAUCUAUCUACUGCCUAUUAGAUAAGUGUAGCCCAAAUGGGCAAGUGGUUUUAAGAUAACUUUUUGUAUCAUCGACUUUAAAUUGCAGUAUUAGUAGAAACACGAAAGUUACGAAAUGUUUAUUCCUUUGAUAAAUCUGGAUGGUUGGAUUUGAUAUAGUUCUAAA
Molecule: long non-coding RNA, 2479 nt
Organism: Rosa rugosa (rugosa rose)
Lineage: Eukaryota; Viridiplantae; Streptophyta; Magnoliopsida; Rosales; Rosaceae
Exons: 3
Source: RefSeq, a predicted model, not a curated record